AUCAAGCUGACGAGUCUCAAACAGAGCGAAACGCUCGUCAUAGAU
Molecule: non-coding RNA, 45 nt
Organism: Schistosoma margrebowiei
Lineage: Eukaryota; Metazoa; Platyhelminthes; Trematoda; Strigeidida; Schistosomatidae
Source: Rfam